GUGGGGAAUCUUGCGCAAUGGGCGAAAGCCUGACGCAGCCAUGCCGCGUGGAUGAUGAAGGUCUUAGGAUUGUAAAAUCCUUUCACCGGUGAAGAUAAUGACUGUAGCCGGAGAAGAAGCCCCGGCUAACUUCGUGCCAGCAGCCGCGGUAAUACGAAGGGGGCUAGCGUUGCUCGGAAUUACUGGGCGUAAAGGGAGCGUAGGCGGACAUUUAAGUCAGGGGUGAAAUCCCGAGGCUCAACCUCGGAACUGCCUUUGAUACUGGGUGUCUUGAGUGUGAGAGAGGUGAGUGGAACUCCGAGUGUAGAGGUGAAAUUCGUAGAUAUUCGGAAGAACACCAGUGGCGAAGGCGACUCACUGGCCCAAUACUGACGCUGAGGCGCGAAAGCGUGGGGAGCAAACAGGAUUAGAAACCCUUGUAGUCC
Molecule: ribosomal RNA, 425 nt
Filed under: uncultured bacterium
Lineage: Bacteria
Description: partial 16S ribosomal RNA
Rfam family: Bacterial small subunit ribosomal RNA
Source: RNAcentral